Molecule: long non-coding RNA, 2034 nt
Filed under: Mus pahari (shrew mouse)
Lineage: Eukaryota; Metazoa; Chordata; Mammalia; Rodentia; Muridae
Description: lncRNA (MGP_PahariEiJ_G0004960.1)
Source: RNAcentral
GUCUACUUUUUGAGAGGAGGGAUUGAGCAAACUGUUCACUCACUAUGCACUUCCCAUCAAAACGGCAGGCUUCAGUUCUCUGUGCUCUCUGAGAGAAUAUAACCAUGUAGAAAGUCUAGUCUGUAUGUGGAAUAUCUGUUAGGAAGAAAUUCUACUUGGAAAGCUUGUCUGCUCUAUUAACCCAUCCCUGUUGCUCCCUUGAAAGAGGAGGGCCUUCACUGUCCACUGUAAGAUGAAGGUCUUCUGUGGCUCUGACGGCUUAUGUUUAGAGACCUUUCUUCAGUGUCCCCAAGGUUCUCGGAUUCCCCUUUCCCAUCAAUGAGCAUAUGCUACAGCCAUCAGAGAACUGAUGACCAGAAUUUCAUUUCUCUGAAGUUUGAUGAACAAUCAAUAAUACAGGUUCUGACAGUGAACCACUAGAGUAGCAUAUGCUAAAGGUUGUGCCUCCUCUUCACAUGCUCUGACUUUAUGUUCAUCGUGCUCAACAGUUAUGGAAACCUAAAUUCUAUUUUAUGUGCUUGUGUUCAUGGCUACAUUCAUAACAGAGAUAGUAGAAAUAACCCAAGUGUUCACAGAAGGAGAGAAGCAGAACAUGGUGCAUACAGUUUAGGGUUGGUCAGCUUUACCUUUAUUCUGAUGCAGGCUGCAACAUGGACCAAGCUGAAGGACAUGGCUGCAUGGAAUAAUUCCAAUGAAAAGUGUUAAACAUCGCCCGCAUUGCUGCAUCCAUGCAUAAGUCAAAGAUGCCACGAAUAUAAAAAACAUCUAGGAUAGGUAAAUGCAUAGAGACAGAAAGACAGGAUCUGUGGGCUACAGAAAUGCAGAGUUAGUGUCUAAUUUGUGCAGAGUUUCCACUGGGAGAGACAAAAGUGUUCAGGAGAUCUAUUGUGCUUGUUGUACAGAAAUGUGAAUGUACAGAAUCCUACUGUGCAAUACUCAAAACAGCCCAGUGUUUUAUGUUAUCUUUAGAUAUAACUAUGGAAAAAAAAAACCAAACUGCCAUGCUAACAGGUCACAUAAGGAGGAAUAUACAAUGUUUAUCUAAGGAAGAGUAAGCAUAUCCACUCAGCUGGAGGACACAGGGCAAAGUGGUAGAGGAAACGAGGCGAGAAAGUUAGGUUGGGUGCAUUAUAGAGACUGGAACUUUGAAGGUUGGUGGGUCCUACACAGAAUCUGUAGAAAGAGGAGGCAUUAAUCCAGAUCAGCCAGCUCCUUACACAUAAGAACAACCUGGAAGAUGGAUUGCACGAUCAAUGGAGAGUGGUGUGUUAAGGGAUCAUGACUCUUUCUCAUUGGCUUCUCUCUAGGUCUCCCACUCUGUUUCCUGGUAUGAAAGCCACACAUCAUAUCAAGUGAAUUCAGUUUCACAAACCUUCCUUUAAAAUGGGGAUUCUCAAGAAGCUAAAAUGCAUACAAGUCACCCGGGUAGCCUGUUAAAUUCCAGAUUUUUAUUUGGUGUUGGCCCUGGCUUCUGCAUUUCUGAAUGUCAAAGACACUGCUGUGACUCCCUGGAGGGCGGUUUGGAUUGUCAGGCUCUAAGGUCCUAGAUUCUCAGCAACCAUUUCACCACUGUAACUCUUUAUAAACUGUUGAGGAGAUGUCACAGUGGCAGACUGAGCUCCUCGGGCACGCAGUCAUUCCUACUGUUCCCACAACCAAAGCCCUGCCUCCCAGGCCAAGAUCACCAUUAGGGUUCCAUGUUGCAAAAAUGAACUUGGCUUUUUUGGAAUGGACUACAGUGUGGCGAGCUUGAUGAUAGGGGCUGUACUACAGGAUAGAUGCAGCAAAGGUCCUCGAUGAGUAGUAACAUGCAUGUGUAUAGCACGGUAUUCAUGGACUAAGUGAGACACACCUGAUGUUUGGUGGGAUUCAUCUGAGAUCUGUUACAAUUUCAAAAAAAAACCAAAUUAGCUAGUACAAAUGAAGUUAAUGAGCCUCUACCACCUGCUUAUUCCACCUUAGGCUACAGGUACUCUGUGAGCAGGCUUGGAUCAAUUAGUCAAUGUAAUUGAAGCCAAAUGUAAUUAAUUAUAU